ACUCCUGCGGGAGGCAGCAGUGGGGAAUUUUGGACAAUGGGCGAAAGCCUGAUCCAGCAAUGCCGCGUGCAGGAUGAAGGCCUUCGGGUUGUAAACUGCUUUUGUACGGAACGAAAAAGCUCCUUCUAAUACAGGGGGCCCAUGACGGUACCGUAAGAAUAAGCACCGGCUAACUACGUGCCAGCAGCCGCGGUAAUACGUAGGGUGCGAGCGUUAAUCGGAAUUACUGGGCGUAAAGCGUGCGCAGGCGGUUAUGUAAGACAGAUGUGAAAUCCCCGGGCUCAACCUGGGAACUGCAUUUGUGGCUGCAUGGCUAGAGUACGGUAGAGGGGGAUGGAAUUCCGCGUGUAGCAGUGAAAUGCGUAGAUAUGCGGAGGAACACCGAUGGCGAAGGCAAUCCCCUGGACCUGUACUGACGCUCAUGCACGAAAGCGUGGGGAGCAAACAGGAUUAGAUACCCGAGUAGUCCCA
Molecule: ribosomal RNA, 471 nt
Filed under: uncultured organism
Description: partial 16S ribosomal RNA
Rfam family: Bacterial small subunit ribosomal RNA
Source: RNAcentral